GCUUUUGAAAGGCUCAGCAUUUUCUGAGUUUUAGGCUCCCUUCAUGUUUCUCACAAAGUGGUUGCCCAAAGUCAUCAGAUCUGUUUGAAAACCUGUCUUUACCACAUAGGAAUUCAGAUGCACAGCUGCAUUUCCCCAGGGUUUCAGAGUGUCCUCCCCAGCUCACGAAAUAAAGCAUGGAAGAGCCAGGUUUGUAUCAAAAAUGCAGACAAAUAAACGGUAGCUCACAUUGUGGGGAUUUGUUUGUUUAGCAGAGACUCAGAAUGAAAGAUGACUUGAAAGGAAAAGGUAAUGUGAUCCUUAUUUUGUCCACCCCAUGGAGCUUCUUUUCCAAAUCCUUCAGCCAUUUAAAUACCACAGCUUCUGGAGGCUGCAAAGAUCAGAGAAACAAAAGGGCAAUCACUCAUGUAAGCACCAGCCCUCCACUUUAAAAGCUCCCUGUGCAUUCUUUCAACUUCUGCCCCCAAUUAUAUUUUCUUAACAUUCAAAACAGCUUUAGGACAGCAGGUGCCUUCCUCACUCAUGCAUUGUUCACACAAUGUUGCCUGCCUUCCCUGUGGUUGUCAUCUUCUUUAAAGUAUUGCAUUUCCAGAAAAAAUUAGCAUAACAGUCUUAUAUCCCCCCAAAAAAGGCAGAAAGAAGAUUUGCUGUCCUCUAGCUACAUUCCAGCCUAACCUAUGACAAGCCUGCACUCUGAGCUGCUUGGUGUAAAUGCAAUACUCCCACUAUGGAAAGAAAUGAUUUGGGUGUAUACGAGCAUCAGGGCCACGUUCUGCAAAGCGCAGCAAGGCAGGUCCCCAAACACCCCUCAGUGGGAGUCUAUGGAGGAAACCAGAAGCCCACACCAGCAACUCAGGUAGCAGUGAACCCAAAUUGUCAGUUCUGGACGAUCUUAGAAGAUGGACUAGAAGCAAUUACUUGCAUUCUUUAAAACACCAUUGAUCUAAUGCUGUCACAUGAAAUCAUGUCUGAUUCUGAUGGUGCACAUCCUGCUGAAGUGAACCUGCACUGUUACUCUGUGACUAAAAUAUAUAACAAUGCAGAAUAAUAUUUUUUGAGCUUAGGUCAAAGAUCCCCUGAUAUCUCACAGAAAAUUCUGGAACAUGCUUGGAGACAUUUUGCUCACAUCACAUUUUUCCUAUAUAUUUUGAUCUAUUUCAGGUUCAUUGGAACCAAUAAUUUAUGUAUUUAUAAAAUAUUCUGGGCUACACAUCCUGAUAUUUGGAUGGGUAGAGUAUCUGUUACAGUUCCUGAGCUGAUCUGCUGCUAUUGCAUAUUUAACUAGAUUUGUAAUCUUUCAUUGAACAUAUUACAUACCUGCCUGGAACCUUUUUUUAUUUUAUUUUUAUUGAGGUAAGAGAUGGUAUAAAUAAAAAAUACCUUAACUUUUCA
This 1392-nucleotide long non-coding RNA is filed under the name Phasianus colchicus (ring-necked pheasant). RNAcentral describes it as "lncRNA (ENSPCLG00000019135.1)". The record is from RNAcentral. Lineage: Eukaryota; Metazoa; Chordata; Aves; Galliformes; Phasianidae.